GAACGCACCGUCAGUGCUGCUCGUCUGAGAGCGAUCGUCGUCUAAACGAUCUGUGGUGUGUGCGUCUAUGAAGCCCAACCACACACCCUCACGCAAAAAUUGAUAAACAGCUUGAACCUUAUUAAAGGACUCCGCCUCUUUUUCAUGCACUCAGAAGAACUGUACAAAAGUGUCCUGACCCGACACCCUGUAGUGAUUGCUGCCACCUAAGAUCCCUAUAGUCUACCGUACAAUUAUUAAUGCAGGUUGUAAACUUAGCUUGCAUUUAGUACUUUCUUAUGUAAAAAAUGAUGGAAACACACAAAAUUAGCAUCAAAUUUCAGCCAUGUUAUAAUAUAUGCUGGGUUAAUUUGAUGGUUUUAGUACAUUUAAUGACGGAAAUGAUACAUGCAAUCCAACCUUAAAAAUCCAGUCUUAACCUUAACCCUCAUCCCAAGACUAAGCCUUCUUGUGCAGUCAUAGACUAUUUUAACUUACUUAUUUUAUUGUUCUAUUGCUUUAUCCCUUUUACUCUGUCAUUCUUAUGUGUUCUUAUCAUAUUGGCCUUAAUUUGUUUUAAUUUGUUGUUAUCUUAUUAGAUUAACUCUGUAAAACUGAUAAUAUAUUAACAUUUCAUCCACAAACAGUCCACCACUUAUUAUUAUGAUUGUAUCUCCUUGCAUCGCUUCACACCCUCUCUCUCUUCUCUCUCUCUCUCUCCUCCUCGUCACUGUGUUCAUAAAGACAACCCGAUGGAUUUUCACUACACGGUUCAUCAUUGGUUGCUUAGUCGGACGUGGGUGUGUUUAAUUUCCCUCACUCUGUCUGACUAAAACAGCUGAAACACGGCGACUUGUUGACUUGCACGGCUGCACAGCGUAGUGAUACGGGCCUGAAUAGAGUGUGACAUACUGAUCCGCAGCAGUUUUAUUGUUACAUAACAUAUGCAUGUAUGUUUGUGCUUUAAAACCCAAACUCUCUCUCUCUCUCAGAACUUUUUUCUUGGCUACGGACCGGGGCGAGCGCGCCGAACCGGACCCUCAUUAAAUGAUUUAACCACGUUGCAUCCACUCUUUCCCUGGGUCGGUGUCAUACAACUUAAUAUUCAAAAAUCCGAACUGUCCCUUUAAUAAUCUUUAUUAUUUCCCAAACAGCUUCUGAAUGUAGAUCAGUAUCUCAACUUGAUACAACAAUACAAUAUGUGUGUGUCUGUUUUGUGCAGCUGUAUCAGCUUCUAUUGUGAACAUACAAACAGUUGAAAACAACAUGCAUUCACCUUGUAUCUGACUCCAGGCUUGAAGUAACCCAAGAAGGUGGAAGAUUCUUCAUUUUGAAGCUCAGUGCAUUGUAUUGGUUUGC
Solea senegalensis (Senegalese sole) is the source of this 1338-nucleotide long non-coding RNA. RefSeq lists it as uncharacterized. The transcript has 2 exons. The record is from RefSeq and is a predicted model, not a curated record. Lineage: Eukaryota; Metazoa; Chordata; Actinopteri; Pleuronectiformes; Soleidae.